RNAcentral lists this long non-coding RNA (246 nucleotides) under Oryza brachyantha (malo sina). Its description in RNAcentral is "long non-coding RNA (OBRA_LNC002455)". The record is from RNAcentral. Lineage: Eukaryota; Viridiplantae; Streptophyta; Magnoliopsida; Poales; Poaceae.
GUGGCUGCACGUUGUAGGAUGUUACGCCAAUGCACGUUUUGACCUGUUCGCAAUUUGCUUCUAUGUAUAGGAAGAUUGGUAGAAAUCGACAAGGUAAGUCACUGCAGAGCCGGAUAUCUGGCCUCACUUCUACAAUUUUUUUAACAUGUGAGUUUGUAAGACCUCCCAAAUUAUACGAUGAAUAUGUUUCCACUUAAAAAAAAAGAUCAGUACAGAGUUGAACUAAAUUAAUCCUAUUGAAGACAA